This 254-nucleotide ribosomal RNA is filed under the name uncultured bacterium. Its description in RNAcentral is "partial 16S ribosomal RNA". It matches the Rfam family "Bacterial small subunit ribosomal RNA", at positions 524 to 776 of the family's 1533-position model. The record is from RNAcentral.
UACGUAGGGUGCGAGCGUUGCCCGGAUUUAUUGGGCGUAAAGGGCGCGCAGGCGGCUACGCACGUCCGUUGUGAAAUCGCUCGGCUCAACUGGGCGGGGUCAGCGGAUACGGCGUAGCUGGAGCAAGCUAGGGGGCAAUGGAAUUCCCGGUGUAGUGGUGGAAUGCGUAGAUAUCGGGAGGAACACCAGUGGCGAAGGCGGUUGCCUGGAGCUUUGCUGACGCUGAGGCUGCGAAAGCGUGGGGAGCGAACAGG